This is a non-coding RNA of Podarcis lilfordi (Lilford's wall lizard), 73 nucleotides long. The record is from the annotation of a GenBank genome assembly. NCBI's taxonomy places the organism in Eukaryota, Metazoa, Chordata, Lepidosauria, Squamata, Lacertidae.
ACUGGGAUAACUCCAUUGGUAGAGCAAGAGACUCUUAAUCUAGGGGUUGUGGGUUUGAGUCCCAUGCUGGGCA